GACGAACGCUGGCGGCGUGCUUAACACAUGCAAGUAGAACGGAAAGGCCUCUUCGGAGGUACUCGAGUGGCGAACGGGUGAGUAACACGUGGGAAAUCUGCCCCGCACUUCGGGAUAAGCCUGGGAAACUGGGUCUAAUACCGGAUAGGACUACAAGACGCAUGUCUGCUGUUGGAAAGCUUUUGCGGAGUGGGGUGGGCCCGCGGCCUAGCAGCUUGUUGGUGGGGUGACGGCCGACAAACGUGACGACUGGUAGCCGGCCUGAGAGGGUGUCCGGCCACACUGGGACUGGGAUACGGCCCAGACUCCUACGGGAGGCAGCAGUGGGGAAUAUUGCACAAUGGGCGCAAGCCUGAUGCAGCGACGCCGCGUGGGGGAUGACGGCCUUCGGGUUGUAAACCUCUUUCACCAUCGACGAAGGUCCGGGUUUUCUCGGAUUGACGGUGGGUGGAGAAGAAGCACCGGCCAACUACGUGCCAGCAGCCGCCGUAA
Molecule: ribosomal RNA, 492 nt
Filed under: uncultured bacterium
Lineage: Bacteria
Description: partial 16S ribosomal RNA
Rfam family: Bacterial small subunit ribosomal RNA
Source: RNAcentral